This 505-nucleotide ribosomal RNA is filed under the name uncultured bacterium. RNAcentral's name for it is "partial 16S ribosomal RNA". It matches the Rfam family "Bacterial small subunit ribosomal RNA", at positions 29 to 523 of the family's 1533-position model. The record is from RNAcentral.
AGUGAACGCUGGCGGUAGGCCUAACACAUGCAAGUCGAACGGCAGCACAGGAGAGCUUGCUCUCUGGGUGGCGAGUGGCGGACGGGUGAGGAAUACAUCGGAAUCUACUCUGUCGUGGGGAUAACGUAGGGAAACUUACGCUAAUACCGCAUACGACCUACGGGUGAAAGCAGGGGACCUUCGGGCCUUGCGCGAUUGAAUGAGCCGAUGUCGGAUUAGCUAGUUGGCGGGGUAAAGGCCCACCAAGGCGACGAUCCGUAGCUGGUCUGAGAGGAUGAUCAGCCACACUGGAACUGAGACACGGUCCAGACUCCUACGGGAGGCAGCAGUGGGGAAUAUUGGACAAUGGGCGCAAGCCUGAUCCAGCCAUACCGCGUGGGUGAAGAAGGCCUCCGGGUUGUAAAGCCCUUUUGUUGGGAAAGAAAUCCAGCUGGCUAAUACCCGGUUGGGAUGACGGUACCCAAAGAAUAAGCGCCGGCUAACUCCGUGCCAGCCGCCGCCGUAA